RNAcentral lists this ribosomal RNA (321 nucleotides) under uncultured bacterium. RNAcentral's name for it is "bacterial SSU rRNA". It matches the Rfam family "Bacterial small subunit ribosomal RNA", at positions 29 to 334 of the family's 1533-position model. The record is from RNAcentral.
AACGAACGCUGGCGGCGUGCUUAACACAUGCAAGUCGAACGCGAACGAGUUCUUCGGAACUUUAGUAGAGUGGCGCACGGGUGAGUAACGCGUAAGUAAUCUACCCUCGCAUCUGGGAUAACCCACCGAAAGGUGUGCUAAUACCGGAUACGUCUAAGUUAAUAUCUUUUUUUAGAGAAAGGUGGCCUCUGAUUCAAGCUACUGUGCGGGGAGGAGCUUGCGUACCAUUAGCUAGUUGGUAGGGUAACGGCCUACCAAGGCGACGAUGGUUAGCGGGUCUGAGAGGAUGAUCCGCCACACUGGAACUGAAACACGGACCAG